UACGUAGGGUGCAAGCGUUUGUCCGGAAUUAUUGGGCGUAAAGAGCUCGUAGGCGGUUUGUCGCGUCUGCUGUGAAAACUCGGGGCUUAACCCCGGGCCUGCAGUGGGUACGGGCAGACUAGAGUGCGGUAGGGGAGACUGGAAUUCCUGGUGUAGCGGUGAAAUGCGCAGAUAUCAGGAGGAACACCGGUGGCGAAGGCGGGUCUCUGGGCCGUAACUGACGCUGAGGAGCGAAAAGCGUGGGGGAGCGAACAGG
Molecule: ribosomal RNA, 256 nt
Filed under: uncultured bacterium
Lineage: Bacteria
Description: partial 16S ribosomal RNA
Rfam family: Bacterial small subunit ribosomal RNA
Source: RNAcentral